AGCUACUUAAGUAUAAUAGUGUAUAGUUAUUUUCCAAAUAACAGGAUUAAAAUAGAUUUAAAAGUAGUA
RNAcentral lists this transfer RNA (69 nucleotides) under Acanthopleura vaillantii. RNAcentral describes it as "tRNA-Gly". Lineage: Eukaryota; Metazoa; Mollusca; Polyplacophora; Chitonida; Chitonidae. The record is from RNAcentral.